This 5529-nucleotide long non-coding RNA is filed under the name Triticum aestivum (bread wheat). RNAcentral describes it as "long non-coding RNA (TAES_LNC004012)". Lineage: Eukaryota; Viridiplantae; Streptophyta; Magnoliopsida; Poales; Poaceae. The record is from RNAcentral.
AGUAAAGUCACUUUAUUUGGUACAUUAAAGUUCCAAACCUGAAUUUAAUUUCCAUUUGACUGCAAUCCUCGGUAUUAUAUGUUCUGUCUCUACAAAGAAGAAACGCAGUCCACAAAGGACACAGACCUUAUUGAGCUUAGGGAAAAACAAUGUAUAUAGUUCUCUUCUAAUUGCAUAAAUAUAGUCUUCUCUCUCUCACUAGUUUUCAUAUAUAAGCUCUCGACUGAGUUCCGCUCGGUGUCCAAAACUUUCAUAUCUAAACCAUGACUGCGCCAGUGCCUUCUCUCAUCUACCGACGCGGCGGGGGUCUCCUCCCGCCUGGAGCUUGAUCUUCCUCGUCGGAUUCGACGUCUCCAUACUGCCACAGCCGCAGCCUUUCCUUCUUCGCCUUCUCCUGGAACUGUUCCAGGUUCUCGAGAGCUGUCUUCCUCUCCUUGGUGUCCCAUCUCUUGCCCCUUUCAAGUCGGGCAAGCCCUUCCUGCAAACAUUAGCAUGAGCAUGUUAGGGAUGAAGUUGACUAUUCCCAAACACAUAAAUAUGCAUCUAAGCUGGGAUAGGAAAUAAUGCUAAUAAUACUGAAUUCAUUGAAUAUAACUCGCACGUCGACCUCAAAAAGUAACUCAGACGUCAGAUAAACCAGAGUAGCUGGUAACUGAGACGAUGUUUCCAUAACCCUCAGAAUCCAUAUACACCACAAAACAUACUUAAGGUAGGUAGGAACUAGCGGAUAACAAUCCUAAUGUAUAGCAUUUCCGAAGCUACAUUUCCAAAAAAAACAUGGAGGGUCUAAACACUACUGUAUAAUUUUCAUGAUCAAUAUUAAAAAAAAUAUGACUAAUUCUGAGUGAUUGUGUAAAACUACUCAAACUGCUUAAGCAAUAUCCUCCAAACUAUUUUCAUAGCAAACUAUUUCUAUAAAGAAAGCUCCUCAUGGAAAGAUCAAAGCAGACCAUGCAGAACCCCGCCAGCCAGUAAACAAAGCUAACCAGCAAUUCAUAAUGCAUAACAGUUAAUAGCACAAACCUCGAGCAUGGCAGCAUUGAUGCUGGAUUCUGUCUCUGGAUCAACAAGAGUCACAAUGAGUACAGGUCCAGUGCCUUGUCCCUUCACUUUACCACCAGUAGUGUCGCGCUCUUCGAUCAUUGCCCGGUAUUGUUUUGAACUGCUCAGCAAGCAUUCGCUGAGAUACUCUGCUGCUUCCUGACCAUUAUCAUCCUCCAGACCAGGCACCUUUAUGAAGGCAAGGCUGCAGAGCUGAGCAAGAGGAGGAGAGGAGGAUACUGAUGGGUCUGCAGGCCGGAUGCGGUUGUAAGGAACCACUUCUUGGUUGCCAAAAUCAAUGUAGAAUACUUCAAAUUUGUCAUCUACAGACUCUACAGCUCCUCGGGGUCCAUUAACAAUCUGCAGGAAUUAUGAUGGAAAUUCUCCUUAGGAUACUGUACGAUUUUAUUAUAAACAAAUAUGUAAAACUAAUUAGUCAUCAUGAGAAGAACAAAUAUUAGCAUGUAGCAUUGCACUGAAGUGGGACAUCAUGCGCGUAUUUUCAACAAUACUGUCAACUUGGCAAGAUACUGCUAAUAGUAUUGUCAUGUGCACUGUUAGGUACUCAAGUCUGACACUCGGCAUGUAUCACUUCACCUAAAUGAUCCUAACAAGCACACCAAUUCUUAAGGUCCAGCAGCUUAAGUAGAAACUGAUAUUUGUUAAAUGCGUCAAGUUAAACGGCUAAUGACAGGUCUAAGUAUCUAUUAAAGAUAUUGCUGAAAUCAGAGUCUGAAUUUAAUAGCCAAUCUAUGACCUUGAUACAAGAAUAAUUAGUUAGUUUUAAUAUGAGUGAAUUAACUGUAGUCAUACCAUGGCUCUAUUCCAAGAGUUGUCGAGGCUAAACUGAGCAAGGACUAUCUCUCCCUUCCCAGGAUUAAAAGCACCAAUGACUGGUGCCUCCUUAAGUUUCAAGGAUGCAAGCUGUUGUUGGAUGGAAGCUACUCUCUGGUCACCUACUGUCUGGGCAUAGAACUUUCCACCACCAAGAACUUCAGUAGCAACAACCUGAACUCAGGUAACAGAGCCAUGUCAGCACUGUUUUAGUAACGACAAAAAUCAACUACUUCCAAUGUUUUUUCAUCAACGAACCUUCAGAAUUUCCUUUUGUUUGGAUUCAGAGGCCGACCCAUUAGUAACUUCUUCACCCUCGACAUAGUUCUCCCAUAUCUUGAUAAAUAGGUGUCAGUAACAAAAAAAAACAAUUAUGUACUUCCUAAAAGAUGUAGCAGUAUAACAGGUUACCUUCAGUUUCUGCUGCUUUGCUAACUUUUCAGCUCUUGUGAGGACAUGAGCAUCUGGAAUCCUAUCCAAGCCAAAUGAACUAAGCUUGGCCAAGCCAGACUCCAAAAGAACAGAACCCACAUUGGUCUUAGACUCCCACAAGGAACCUAUGAAUGUUCCAGUUCUAUCAACUGUUUCAACCUCAAUCUGCAAAAUGAUUUGGUAUCCUUCAGAUAUUGAAGAUUGAGAUAUGGACAAAGCAGAGAGGCAGCAAACGCCAUACCUCCACAUCACGCUGUAGAAUCAUCCUCCUCAUCAAAGCAAUAGCUUCGCUCGAGUAGGGCUCAUCUUUACCAGGGCACCUAACACCAGACAAAGAAAAAGCGAUGCUGCAAGUCUCCUUCGGAAUUGUUAGUUUGAAACGAUGACCGCUGAACACAUAUUCAACAACAGCAGUAUGCCUUCUAUUCCGCUGCAGGAAGGGAAGGAAAUCUUUGGCCUUCUUAGAAUUAACCUGAGGAGAUAUGCAAUCAUAACAAUCUAUUAAUAAAGGUGCAGAGCAAAUGUCAAAGGAAACUACUGGAACAAGCAAGAAUGCCAACCAUUGUUAAAUCUGUUAUAUGCAUCACAGGAGGAAGUUUGUCAGAGUGAAUUCCUUUCUUUGCUUUCUCAGCACGUGAGUGAGCCGCUAAUAGAGCAUCAAAAUAAUGUGAUCUUUCCUCAUAGUCACGGUGUUUUGAUAUCUCAGCAAAGCCCCGUGAGAGCAAAAGCUCAGCAACAUUAAUUUUAGGCUGGGUGCCUGUGCUUGGAGCAGAAGAUGUGUCAUCUCCGUCCGCCGGUGAUGGCGAACCUAGAAACACUGAACCAUAAUCCAAAACUCUGGUAUCAGCCGAGUUCAUUACAGGCACAGCAUUCUGUCCAUCCAUUGUACUGAUCCUUCUAGAAUAUUCCAUUUCCACGGUCACCUGAAAUUUUGAAAAAAGGGAUAUAUCAGUCAUUUCUCAACUAAGAAAUCAACUUCUCAUCAUUGUAACUUCAGUAAGAAUAUGAGCAGCCCAUACAUACCUGUUUGCCAAUCAACCGAGUGCGCAAGAAUUCCUUAGAUUCACGAGCAAAUUUGUCGGGCUUGUUGUCCUCUCUGCGGGGAUUGCCUAGCUUAGGAGCUCUAAUACUUGAAAGAUUAACCCGCCGUUCUGCUGAAGGACUACCAUAAGGAGCAGCAUCAUCAGCAACAAUAAUACAAUCUCCACUCACAACUUCUACCACCUACAAAGACAUCAAUAUGAACCAAAUUAGUUAAGUCACAAGAAUGAUGAUCAAUAGACUGCUACUGAGAACAUGAAACCCACUUUUCCAGUGAAUUUCUGAUCAUGGAUUGGCUUCGAAUUUGUCACUGGUGGCUUAAAUCCAGUCCAAAUUCUCAGCUGUUCCUUUUUUGCCUGAAGUUCAGCAUUCUUCAGCUUUAUUUUAACUUCAACAUCUAGCAUGUUCGCACUCCAUUCCACAUAUUUCGCAAGACCCUGUAAUGGGAAGGUUACAGAACAGUUAAGAAAUGCAAAUGUCUGAAAGAUUAAAUAAACAAUUUAGCUAUUCUUGCUUCGUAGAAUGAAUAUGGAUAAAUAAUUAGUCAUACAUUUUCAACAAGCUCAAGGGACAAGUCCUUAGCAGUGUCACCAUCUGGGUAAUACACCGAACCAAUUAUAUUACUGAAACUGUCUGUCCCCUCCACCACAAUCCGCACCUAGAGAAAAAAUACAAAUCAAAACUGAUUAAAAGAUGAUACAUGUUGACUCUAAAGAUGGGAUAAAACAACCAAAAGAAAAGGUGGCUUACAUCUCUGUUCAGAACACGAGUCUCUGUGAAAUGCUUAGCUUCUCUUCCAAACCUAUCUGGUGGAACUUCAGUAGAGGCUGUCGAUGCAGCAAGCCUUUGUGCUGUUGUCAGUGGUGCAGGAGCUUCCCCAGAAUCGUCACCAUUUGUAGUGCCGUUAGUAGUGCCCUCUGGUUCGGCAACAACAGUAGGAUUCGGUGGUCGUCUCCCCAUGGACGGAGCCUGCAUUUCAUCAUUCUCAAUAUUUACUUUCUAACAGAAAAAAUAUAUAUGGAAUCAAAUAGAAGCUAUUGAGAAGCACACCUGCACUCCAGCGACAUAUAUCUGGACAAAUUGGAAACUUGGAAGCAAGUAAACACGAAUGGUACUGCCAUCACGAACUUGUUCGACAAUGGCUUCCAGACUCUUGCCUUUAUUUGCAACUGCAAAACCCUUUGCAUCAAAACCACUUAGUUCGCCAAUUGCUGAUGGUGGAAGAUCUCUUAUCGAAUCUUCAGCAGCACCAGGUUCCUAAGUUGGCAGAAAAUAAGAACACAAAAUUAGGUCAUCAUUCGAUAGAACAUUUGUGUCAUGCAAUUCAAAAGAUGGUUGCAGGACAGCAGGAACCCCAAAAGAAAGCAAACCUUGCUCCAACGGCCUAAACCCUGUUGCUUAGCAACUUCCUCCAACCUCAGAAGCUCAGAGACAUUUGGGAGUGGUUCACCCCCCUUGGGGCCUUGCUCCUUCACCUGAUCAAAUAAAUAAGAUCAAAAUUUACGAAAACAUUUGGCACAACAAAACAAUUGAGGAAAAAGUAAAUGGUUAUCACCCUUGCCCAUCCUGCAGCAACCACCAAGUAGGCAACGUUCUUGUCGCCAAGGUAGACAGUGCCAAAUUCUCGUCCGAUGUUAGGAGCAGUGUAAUCCACUCUAAAUGUGACCUCCUGCAAUAGAUUUUAGUUUUUCAUUUCCAAGAGAAUAUAGAAGUCGUUUUUAUGUGAUUACAUUCAGUAUUAAUACAUGCAUAGGAGGAUUUGGAAUAGAUAAAGAAAAGACACAUCAUGUACCUUUCCUACGCAGAGUUUCCUCAGAUACUCCCUGCUUUCCCAAGCAAAUGGCUCAUCCACUCCACCACGACGAGCCUAGAGCACCACAAAUAUACGGAUUCAACAGACAAGAAAAGAUGGAGACAAGAACAAAUGUACUGCACAAAUAACAUCAACAAUUUAUUAUAGAUGCAUUCCUAAGUGUCAAAUUAUACAAACAGAACACAGUGAAACAGUGGGAACGAAAAUGCAAUGAUGGAGAGAAAUUCUUGUGCCAAAUACUAACUUCCAUUGGCUCACAAGUGUAGCAUGUAAACAUAAUUCACUAUAGAGAAGGGUGGAAGCAGACCCUGCGCAAUCAAGGCUUCAACUCAGGCUCUAGAUCCAAAAGCCCAUAGAAACUACCAUAU